AUCCAGCCAAAGAGUCCAAAAUAGGACGAAACGCACUUUCUAGAU
Molecule: non-coding RNA, 45 nt
Organism: Schistosoma mattheei
Lineage: Eukaryota; Metazoa; Platyhelminthes; Trematoda; Strigeidida; Schistosomatidae
Source: Rfam